This 490-nucleotide ribosomal RNA is filed under the name uncultured bacterium. Its description in RNAcentral is "partial 16S ribosomal RNA". It matches the Rfam family "Bacterial small subunit ribosomal RNA", at positions 30 to 507 of the family's 1533-position model. The record is from RNAcentral.
AUUGAACGCUGGCGGCAGGCUUAACACAUGCAAGUCGAGCGGUAGCACAGGGGAGCUUGCUCCCUGGGUGACGAGCGGCGGACGGGUGAGUAAUGUCUGGGAAACUGCCUGAUGGAGGGGAAUAACUACUGGAAACGGUAGCUAAUACCGCAUAACGUCGCAAGACCAAAGAGGGGGACCUUCGGGCCUCUUGCCAUCAGAUGUGUCCAGAUGGGAUUAGCUAGUAGGUGGGGUAAUGGCUCACCUAGGCGACGAUCCCUAGCUGGUCUGAGAGGAUGACCAGCCACACUGGAACUGAGACACGGUCCAGACUCCUACGGGAGGCAGCAGUGGGGAAUAUUGCACAAUGGGCGCAAGCCUGAUGCAGCCAUGCCGCGUGUGUGAAGAAGGCCUUCGGGUUGUAAAGCACUUUCAGCGAGGAGGAAGGUGGUGAGCUUAAUACGUUCAUCAAUUGACGUUACUCGCAGAAGAAGCACCGGCUAACUCCGUG